Molecule: long non-coding RNA, 315 nt
Filed under: Phoenix dactylifera (date palm)
Lineage: Eukaryota; Viridiplantae; Streptophyta; Magnoliopsida; Arecales; Arecaceae
Description: long non-coding RNA (PDAC_LNC014236)
Source: RNAcentral
AGGGAGGGAGGCAUUAGUCUGAUAUCUUACUAGUGUUGGUGGAGAGUGUCACGCCCCGAAUUCGGUUCAUGACACGGCCGUGUUAUUGCCAAGUUAAGCAUACAAUAACACGCAGCCACUUUAAAACUUUAAUUACUAAACAACUAUAUUCAUGAAAAUCAUUAAAUGUUCAGGUAUUAAAAUCCAUACAAAGCUUCUAAAAACAAUAUCAACAUUUAAUAUUUGUCUUUCCCAUAACCCUGGAGCAUGUCACGCUCCUUGUUCCUAGCAUCUCCUAUUCAUCUGUAAAGACAUAAUUAAAAUGGUGUGAGCUAU